ACAAUCCUCCACUCCCAGCAGCUCCGUCACACUCCAACCCAACUCCAACUCGGUCUGCUGGGGUUUCCCAAAGUCCUCUUAAAGUCCAUGACAAGGAAGUAUUUCUUCUCCGGGUCAACACCACAUUUUUCUUCAUCAAGUGUCCCGGAUUUACUACCGGCUUCCGUCCUCGUGACCCCAAAGUACUUCCGGGGUGGUGUAAUUAUAAAAGUCAACAGGUUCUUGGUGAACUCCCCCUGGUGGCACCCAACAGGGCUGAAGAGAUGGACUCCAUGUCCCGUGCUGCCCUGCGGGAAUCCAAGGAACCAUUUCCAUCCGGGCGAGCUGCCAUCUAGCGUCCCGGGGAAUGUAGUGCCCUAAAAAGGCUGUCUUCUUUUGUUGAGGGACUUCCUGGCCAGACUGAAACACAGACCGUCCAUCACACUAUGAAAUAAAUGAUUUACUAUACAUGUUUCUGAAAAACCAAAACAGUUUUUUUUUCUUUCAGACAGUCUAAUUAUAGAAAAUCAAAAUCUAAAAAAAGAAAAGAAAGAUUUAAGACAACAGCUUGAAAAACGGGGGAUCGUCCCUGAGGAAGAUUGGAGGAAAAUGCAAGAAAUGGAAGUCAAUAUUUUUCUGGACUGUGACUCAGCACACCCUGAUGUUUCUGUAGAUGUUGAUGCCUUACAAGUAAGAUUCGUAGGAAAUGCAUGAGGAUCUGACAGGUGGUAUUGCGUUACCAUCGCUGAGGGGCUACCAACAAGGAAUCACUACUGGGAGGUGGAAGUUGGUGAGAAAAGCAGCUGGGCAAUUGGAGUAGUAACCACAGAAAUUAAAAAGAUGAAGAUUAUUCCUGAAACCCCAGGUGAUGGACUCUGGCUCGUCCGUUUAUGCAGGGGGAAGAAGUUUGAAGCUCUUUCCAACACUGUCACUGAUCUUCAAGAAAAACCUAAAAAAGUUGGGGUAUUCCUUGGAGAAAAUUACUUGUCCUUUUAUAAUGCAGAGAAUACAAAAAAAAUCUACACCUUUCAGAUGCAAUACUCUGAGCAUCUUUUUCCUGUUUUCAGUCCUGGUUCAAGUGACAGAGGACCUCUAAUAAUCAAGAAAAGCAAACUGUUAACUGAUCUUUCUAAUACUGCUUAAGAUAUUGCUUUGCCACUUCACAUCGUCUUCUUUACCAUUGCUUGUCCACUGAAGUUCUGAACUUGUCUUACAUUUGGACAUGGAAUGUGGCUGUACAUAAACAGGUCAUUGAAUUUUAUGUUCUGUUUCUUGUUGGAGACUCAUCUCUUAAAUACCUUUUUAAUGACUAUGUACACAAAAAUCAUAUUGAAAUAAAAUGUCUUGUUAGAAAUAGAAAUAACCCAUUUAUCCUCAGCACAGUCCCAUCCAUAUCCCAGUCCUUGUAUUUUACUGAAAUUAUAAUAAUCUUUCUGGCUUCCGUACUUGAUUAAUAAGGUAUCUUUUGUAACAGUUUAUUUCAUUUAGCCAGUGUACUCUUCUAGGGAAGUUUUUUUUUUUCUAUUUUAAAUUAAAGUUUACCUUGCUAUUUGUGGCUGA
This is a long non-coding RNA of Polypterus senegalus (gray bichir), 1539 nucleotides long. RefSeq lists it as uncharacterized. The record is from RefSeq and is a predicted model, not a curated record. NCBI's taxonomy places the organism in Eukaryota, Metazoa, Chordata, Cladistia, Polypteriformes, Polypteridae. The transcript is spliced from 5 exons.